RNAcentral lists this transfer RNA (81 nucleotides) under Blumeria graminis f. sp. tritici. It matches the Rfam family "tRNA". Rfam says of the family: Transfer RNA (tRNA) molecules are approximately 80 nucleotides in length. Their secondary structure includes four short double-helical elements and three loops (D, anti-codon, and T loops). RNAcentral also lists the same sequence under 1 other name. Lineage: Eukaryota; Fungi; Ascomycota; Leotiomycetes; Helotiales; Erysiphaceae. The record is from Rfam by way of RNAcentral.
UCUUUGAUGGUCUAACGGUUAUGAUUUCCGCUUGUCAUUGGGUAUUCGCGGGAGACCGGGGUUCGACUCCCCGUCAGAGAG